GACGAACGCUGGCGGCGUGCUUAACACAUGCAAGUCGAACGGAAAGGCCCUGCUGUUGUGGGGUGCUCGAGUGGCGAACGGGUGAGUAACACGUGAGUAACCUGCACUUGACUUUGGGAUAACUUCAGGAAACUGGGGCUAAUACCGGAUAGGAGCUCCUGCUGCAUGGUGGGGGUUGGAAAGUUUCGGCGGUUGGGGAUGGACUCGCGGCUUAUUAGCUUGUUGGUGGGGUAGUGGCUUACCAAGGCUUUGACGGGUAGCCGGCCUGGGAGGGUGACCGGCUAGGGUGUGAGUGACGCCCCGGCCACACUCGGAAGGGAGGAAGGGGUAGGGAUGAAUAGAGGGUGGGAGCAAGAUUGAUCAAGCCCUGUGGCGUGAGUGAUGCCUGCGGUUUGGAUGCCAAUUUCUCUUGUCCGGGACGAUAAUGACGGUAAAGGGAGAAAAAGCCCCGGCUAAAUUCGUG
This 463-nucleotide ribosomal RNA is filed under the name uncultured bacterium. RNAcentral's name for it is "partial 16S ribosomal RNA". It matches the Rfam family "Bacterial small subunit ribosomal RNA", at positions 28 to 507 of the family's 1533-position model. The record is from RNAcentral.